AGUGAACGCUGGCGGUAGGCCUAACACAUGCAAGUCGAACGGCAGCACAGUAAGAGCUUGCUCUUACUGGUGGCGAGUGGCGGACGGGUGAGGAAUACAUCGGAAUCUACUUUUUCGUGGGGGAUAACGUAGGGAAACUUACGCUAAUACCGCAUACGACCUACGGGUGAAAGCAGGGGAUCUUCGGACCUUGCGCGAUUGAAUGAGCCGAUGUCGGAUUAGCUAGUUGGCGGGGUAAAGGCCCACCAAGGCGACGAUCCGUAGCUGGUCCGAGAGGAUGAUCAGCCACACUGGAACUGAGACACGGUCCAGACUCCUACGGGAGGCAGCAGUGGGGAAUAUUGGACAAUGGGCGCAAGCCUGAUCCAGCCAUACCGCGUGGGUGAAGAAGGCCUUCGGGUUGUAAAGCCCUUUUGUUGGGAAAGAAAAGCAGCAGGUUAAUACCCCGCUGUUCUGACGGUACCCAAAGAAUAAGCACCGGCUAACUUCGUG
This 492-nucleotide ribosomal RNA is filed under the name uncultured bacterium. Its description in RNAcentral is "partial 16S ribosomal RNA". It matches the Rfam family "Bacterial small subunit ribosomal RNA", at positions 29 to 507 of the family's 1533-position model. The record is from RNAcentral.